RNAcentral lists this ribosomal RNA (442 nucleotides) under uncultured prokaryote. Its description in RNAcentral is "bacterial SSU rRNA". It matches the Rfam family "Bacterial small subunit ribosomal RNA", at positions 338 to 774 of the family's 1533-position model. The record is from RNAcentral.
CCUACGGGAGGCUUCAGUGGGGAAUCAUGGUCAAUGGGCGAAAGCCUGAACCUGCGACGCCGCGUGAGUGAUGAAGGUCGUAAGAUCGUAAAACUCUUUUCAGGGAUCUUAAAGCCUGUCUGUCAACAACAGGCAGGUCUGACUCUCCCUGGAAGAAGCCCCAGCCAACUACGUGCCAGCAGCUGCGGUAAUACGUAGGGGGCGAGCGUUAUUCGGAAUUACUGGGUGUAAAGGGUAUGUAGGCGGCCCUUCAAGUCGCGUGUCAAAGUCCAGUGCUCAACGCUGGGUGUGCGCGCGAUACUGACGGGCUUGAGGGCUGGAGAGGUGAGCGGAAUUCCCGGUGUAGUGGUAAAAUACGUAGAGAGCGGGAGGAACACCAGCGGCGCAGGCGGCUCACUAGACAGUUUCUGACGCUAAGAUACGAAAGCGUGGGGAGCAAACA